This 433-nucleotide ribosomal RNA is filed under the name uncultured bacterium. RNAcentral's name for it is "partial 16S ribosomal RNA". It matches the Rfam family "Bacterial small subunit ribosomal RNA", at positions 29 to 507 of the family's 1533-position model. The record is from RNAcentral.
AACGAACGCUGGCGGCAUGCCUAACACAUGCAAGUCGAACGAGACCUUCGUGUCUAGUUGCGCACGUGUGCGUAACGCGUGGUAAUCUGCCCUUCGGUUGGGAAUAACUGAGAGAAAUUUCAGCUAAUACCUUAUAAUGUCUUCGGACCAAAGAUUUAUCGCCGAGGGAUGAGCCCGCGUAGGAUUAGGUAGUUGGUGGGGUAAUGGCCUACCAAGACGACGAUCCUUAGCUGGUCUGAGAGGAUGAUCAGCCACACUGGGACUGAGACACGGCCCAGACUGCUACGGGAGGCAGCAGUGGGGAAUAUUAGACAAUGGGCGAAAGCCUGAUACAGCAAUGCCGCGUGAGUGAUGAAGGCCUUAGGGUUGUAAAGCUCUUUUACCCGGGAUGAUAAUGACAGUACCGGGAGAAUAAGCUCCGGCUAACUCCGUG